Molecule: ribosomal RNA, 482 nt
Filed under: uncultured bacterium
Lineage: Bacteria
Description: partial 16S ribosomal RNA
Rfam family: Bacterial small subunit ribosomal RNA
Source: RNAcentral
AUUGAACGCUGGCGGCAUGCCUUACACAUGCAAGUCGAACGGUAACAGGUCUUCGGAUGCUGCCGAGUGGCGAACGGGUGCGUAAUACAUCGGAACGUGCCCGAUCGUGGGGUAUAACGAGGCGAAAGCUUUGCUAAUACCGCCUACUAUCUACGGCUGAAAGCGGGGGAUCUUCGGACCUCGCGCGGCCUGAGCCGCCGAUGGCAGAUUAGGUAGUUGGUGGGAUAAAAGCUUACCAAGCCGACGAUCUGUAGCUGGUCUGAGAGGAUGAUCAGCCACACUGGGACUGAGACACGGCCCAGACUCCUACGGGAGGCAGCAGUGGGGAAUUUUGGACAAUGGGCGAAAGCCUGAUCCAGCCAUGCCGCGUGCAGGAUGAAGGCCUUCGGGUUGUAAACUGCUUUUGUACGGAAAGAAAAGCCUCAGGCUAAUAAAGAGGGGUCAUGACGGUACCGUAAGAAUAAGCACCGGCUAACUACGUG